CCCUUAGAUGUCCGGGGCCGCACGCGCGCUACACUGAAGGAAUCAGCGUGGCUUUCUCCCUGACCCGAAAGGGUUGGGAAACCCGUUGAAUCUCCUUCGUGAUAGGGAUUGGGGCUUGAAAUUGUUCCCCAUGAACGAGGAAUUCCCAGUAAGCGCGAGUCAUAAGCUCGCGUUGAUUACGUCCCUGCCCUUUGUACACACCGCCCGUCGCUACUACCGAUCGAGCGCCCUAGCGAGGUCGUCCGAUUGUCGCCGAGGCCGGCUUUCGCGAGCUGCGCAUCCGACGAAAAGGCGAUCGAACUCGAGCGCUUAGAGGAAGUAAAAGUCGUAACA
This 333-nucleotide ribosomal RNA is filed under the name uncultured eukaryote. RNAcentral describes it as "partial 18S ribosomal RNA". It matches the Rfam family "Eukaryotic small subunit ribosomal RNA", at positions 1470 to 1796 of the family's 1831-position model. The record is from RNAcentral.